RNAcentral lists this ribosomal RNA (465 nucleotides) under Vreelandella stevensii. RNAcentral's name for it is "partial 16S ribosomal RNA". It matches the Rfam family "Bacterial small subunit ribosomal RNA", at positions 338 to 795 of the family's 1533-position model. Lineage: Bacteria; Pseudomonadati; Pseudomonadota; Gammaproteobacteria; Oceanospirillales; Halomonadaceae. The record is from RNAcentral.
CCUACGUGUGGCAGCAGUGGGGAAUAUUGGACAAUGGGCGAAAGCCUGAUCCAGCCAUGCCGCGUGUGUGAAGAAGGCCUUCGGGUGGUAAAGCACUUUCAGUGGGGAAGAAAGCCUUGGGGCUAAUCCCCUCGAGGAAGGACAUCACCCACAGAAGAAGCACCGGCUAACUCCGUGCCAGCAGCCGCGGUAAUACGGAGGGUGCGAGCGUUAAUCGGAAUUACUGGGCGUAAAGCGUGCGUAGGCGGUCUGAUAAGCCGGUUGUGAAAGCCCCGGGCUCAACCUGGGAACGGCAUCCGGAACUGUCAGGCUAGAGGGCAGGAGAGGAAGGUAGAAUUCCCGGUGUAGCGGUGAAAUGCGUAGAGAUCGGGAGGAAUACCAGUGGCGAAGGCGGCCUUCUGGACUGACACUGACGCUGAGGUGCGAAAGCGUGGGUAGCAAACAGGAUUAGAUACCCCAGUAGUC